AGAGCCAGGCCUCGAUGAG
RNAcentral lists this small nuclear RNA (19 nucleotides) under Arabidopsis thaliana (thale cress). Its description in RNAcentral is "snRNA_15773". Lineage: Eukaryota; Viridiplantae; Streptophyta; Magnoliopsida; Brassicales; Brassicaceae. The record is from RNAcentral.